Molecule: non-coding RNA, 249 nt
Organism: Vicia faba (fava bean)
Lineage: Eukaryota; Viridiplantae; Streptophyta; Magnoliopsida; Fabales; Fabaceae
Source: the annotation of a GenBank genome assembly
AUGAUCAUAUCCCUCAUUAAUCUCCAUCAUAGCGCCACUGCGGCUAUCCCUUCUCAUACACCACCAGUGCGUUCGUUAUCCUCGUCGAUCUCCGUCUCAACUACCGGCGACCGGACCUCAACCUUCGCCAAAACGCUGUCCUCUCCCUUUCUUCAAUCGGAUUCUGCCGAUCCAAACCCUUCUGGCGGUUCUCGUCUCCAAACAUCGUCGAGCGACACACGGUUCAAAAAUGCAACACAAAUUGAAUGA